AAUGAACGCUGGCGGCAUGGAUUAGGCAUGCAAGUCGAACGGACCGGAUUUCGCAAGAAGGACGGUCAGUGGCGAAAGGGUGAGUAACACGUGAGUAACCUGCCCCCGAGUCCGGGAUAGCCCGCGGAAACGCGGAUUAAUACCGGAUGUGGUACCCCGUCGCAUGGCGGGGCCACUGAAGAUUUAUCGCUAGGGGAUGGACUCGCGGCCCAUAAGCUUGUUGGCGGGGUUACGCCCACCAAGGCUAUGACGGGUAGGUGGUCUGAGAGGAUGGUCACCCACACUGGGACUGAGACACUGCCCAGACUCCUACGGGAGGCAG
RNAcentral lists this ribosomal RNA (322 nucleotides) under uncultured Lentisphaerota bacterium. RNAcentral's name for it is "bacterial SSU rRNA". It matches the Rfam family "Bacterial small subunit ribosomal RNA", at positions 29 to 351 of the family's 1533-position model. Lineage: Bacteria; Pseudomonadati; Lentisphaerota. The record is from RNAcentral.